AGGAUUAACGCUGGCGGCGUGCCUAACACAUGCAAGUCGAACGAGGGGGCAACCCCUAGUGGCAGACGGGUGAGUAACACGUGGUCAACCUACCGCUUUGUGGGGGAUAACCAGCCGAAAGGUUGGCUAAUACCGCAUACGUCGCGAUCGGCAUCGAUCGUUGAUAAAAGGAGCAAUCCGCAAGGUGACGGGACCGCGUCCCAUUAGCUAGUUGGUGAGGUAACGGCCCACCAAGGCUCCGAUGGGUAGCUGGUUUGAGAGAGCGACCAGCCACACUGGGACUGAGAUACGGCCCAGACUCCUACGGGAGGCAGCAGUUGGGAAUCUUGGACAAUGGGGGAAACCCUGAUCCAGCCAUGCCGCGUGAGUGAUGAAGGCCUUCGGGUUGUAAAACUCUUUCGACGGGGACGAUAAUGACGGUACCCGUAGAAGAGCUCCGGCUAACUUCGUGCCAGCAGCCGC
RNAcentral lists this ribosomal RNA (462 nucleotides) under uncultured bacterium. Its description in RNAcentral is "SSU rRNA". It matches the Rfam family "Bacterial small subunit ribosomal RNA", at positions 26 to 518 of the family's 1533-position model. The record is from RNAcentral.